CCGGCGCAGCCCGGAGGAGCGGAGGGAGAGGGCCGCGCCCCCGUACGCGGUGGGCACGUGGGGAGCCCCGGCGUCCUGCCUCGGGGCACGGCGGGGGCUCCCCGAAGCUGGGGGCCGCUGCCCCGCGCCACCCGCACGACGCUCGGGGACCCCUCCGCGCCUCCCCGAGCCACUUUCCGAGAAGGUCGGCUCUCCGGCGGCCUGUCGGGCGAAGUAGGUUGUGCUGGCGCUUCCGCUGCUUCAGUGUGUCCUCUCCAGGUGUUUGGAGCAAAGAGGGAGCGUCGGGUCGGGCAGCGGCUUUCGGAACCAGAGACCCAGGGGAAGCCCGAGGCUCUAUUCUCAUGCGCAGUAGCUUGACAAUUAGAGGCCACUGGUGAAAAAGAAAAAAAUUAAAAACCAGCUCAAGUGGGACCUGCCAGAUUGCUACGCAGAGUUGUGUGCAUACGCUAUGCUAGAUGUAGAUGUGGAAGGACAGGCGCCCGGGUCGAGGAUUAGACAGUCACUAUCUUACAGCUGGGUUUCCUUGGCAGGUUGCACAUAAAGUUUCUAAAGCGACAGAAAUUUCCUGGGAGAAUUACAGGGUGGAGGAAGCCGACGUUUGUUACACCGAGAAUGAACUAUGUCUUUAUUGAAAUUAAAAAAAAAAAAAAAGAGGUUAUUUAUUUAUUUGUGAGAGACGCAGAGACACAGGCAGAGGGAGAAGCAGGCUUCCUGCAGGGAGACCCGACGUGGGACCCGAUCCGAUCCCGGGUCUCCAGGAUCAGGCCCUGAGCUGAAGGCAGGCGCUAAACUGCUGGGCCACCCGGGGUGCCUCCCGCUUUUUAAGAUUUUAUAUAUUUAUUCAUGAGAAAGACAGAGAGAGAGAGAGAGGCAGAGGGAGAAGCAGGCUCCAUGCAGGGAGCCCAAUGUGGGACUCGAUCCCGGUACUCCAGGACCACACCCUGGACUGAAGGCAGGUGCUAAACCACUGAGCCACCCGCCUGCCCUGAACUAUUUCUUUAAAUUCAAAUCAUAGCUGGAGGGUCGCAAAAUUAGUAGAUGGAGGUAGAGGAGCCUGAAUCACAAACAUCUUAUGUAUUACAAGGCAAGUAGGUACUGCCAAUGAUGUAACAAUGCCUUUGACACCAACAUCCUGUAUCCGUUGUUCGUGUUGGCAAAAAAAAACACUAGAGCAAAGUCCUAUUUAAUUAAUAGACCCCUAAAAUAGCUACAGUUUUUGGUUGUAAUUGUUUUUAUGUUCUCUGCCUUUCUCUAAAAGUCAAAUAGAUAUCAAAAGUCUUAAAAUUGCCAGGAUGUGUGCUGCAGUCACCACAGAUUUAUUCCAAUUUCCUAAGUUAUUUUACAUUGAAAAUACAUAUUUAUAAUGAGACCCUUGAGGGAUAGUGACGUCUGGAAUCCUCUAAAAAUAAUUCAGGUGUGGGCACCUGAGUGGCUCAGUUGGUUAAGUGUCUGCCUUCCGCUCAGGUCAUGAUUUCAGGGAUCCUGGGAUGGAGCCCUUUCUUGGGUUCCUUGCUGAGCUGGGAGUCAGCUUCUCCCUCUCCCACCCUUAUCCCCACUCUUGCUCUCGCUCAUGUCUUUCUCUCAAAUAAAUAAAAUCGAAAAAAUAAUAAUUCA
Molecule: long non-coding RNA, 1614 nt
Filed under: Canis lupus dingo (dingo)
Lineage: Eukaryota; Metazoa; Chordata; Mammalia; Carnivora; Canidae
Description: lncRNA (ENSCAFG00020009093.1)
Source: RNAcentral